RNAcentral lists this ribosomal RNA (274 nucleotides) under uncultured bacterium. RNAcentral describes it as "partial 16S ribosomal RNA". It matches the Rfam family "Bacterial small subunit ribosomal RNA", at positions 523 to 796 of the family's 1533-position model. The record is from RNAcentral.
AGACGGAGGGUGCAAGCGUUAUCCGGAAUCAUUGGGUUUAAAGGGUCCGUAGGCGGACUAAUAAGUCAGGGGUGAAAUCCCACAGCUUAACUGUGGAACUGCCUUUGAUACUGUUAGUCUUGAGUUAUAUGGAAGUAGAUAGAAUGUGUAGUGUAGCAGUGAAAUGCUUAGAGAUUACACAGAAUACCGAUUGCGAAGGCAGUCUACUACAUAUAUACUGACGCUAAUGGACGAAAGCGUGGGGAGCGAACAGGAUUAGAAACCCUAGUAGUCC